RNAcentral lists this ribosomal RNA (391 nucleotides) under uncultured bacterium. RNAcentral describes it as "partial 16S ribosomal RNA". It matches the Rfam family "Bacterial small subunit ribosomal RNA", at positions 523 to 917 of the family's 1533-position model. The record is from RNAcentral.
AUACGUAGGUGACAAGCGUUAUCCGGAUUUAUUGGGUUUAAAGGGUGCGCAGGCGGCCAUUUAAGUCAGCGGUUAAAUCGUGGGGCUCAACCCCAUUCUGCCGUUGAUACUGGGUGGCUUGAUUGCGGUCGAGGUUGGCGGAAUUCGUUGUGUAGCGGUGAAAUGCAUAGAUAUGACGAAGAACACCGAUUGCGUAGGCAGCUGACCAGACCGCAAAUGACGCUCAUGCACGAAAGUGCGGGGAUCGAACAGGAUUAGAUACCCUGGUAGUCCGCACAGUAAACGAUGAAUACUUGUUUUCGGCGAUAUAAUGUCGGAGGCAAAGCGAAAGCGAUAAGUAUUCCACCUGGGGAGUACGCCGGCAACGGUGAAACUCAAAGGAAUUGACGGG